CUCUCUCUCUGCUUGAGGCUGCGGCCGGGAGGCAGCCAAAUGGCGACGCGCGCCUCCACUCCGGUCCUCCGGGAACCUGCGCUGCGCACACACUGCAUGCCUCCAGGCGUCGCCGACUGAGUGGUAAGAAAAAUAUCUUCUCCUCCCUGUUGUUGAUGGUUUUCUUGCCGCCUUGCCUUGCUUUUUGUCACCUUCCUCCUCCCAUUUCCAUCUGCUCUGCUCUUGCCUACUUUCGUUUUGCCUCGGUUCGUUCAUGUCUUUGCCUUGAUUUCUUGGAGAAUCAUCGAGGUCGUGUUCCUCUUGCAUCGUUUGCCGCCAUUGGUUCCUGAACUUGCUGAUCUAUCUAGAUGCAGUCCGGGAUUACAAUCAAUUGCAGCAAAAGAAGAAGAAAAGCUGGGGCAGAUCUCAUAUUGUAGAGCGUGCGUGCUAGAUGGGGAGGCGCCGGGAGGAAGGUGGAGAGAGGCGCAGUGCGGUGUGGUGGCCGUCGUCGUCUUGGGUGCCAGCUUAAAUGGGCAAGCAGACUUUGAAGUAAUGCCGGGGAUCGAGUCCGGCGCGCUGGCAGAUGAACCGGAUGACAUCCCACCGCUCCGGCCACCGCCGCACGGGCCCUGCCUAGGAUGCAAAGCACGUCCGCGCCAUGGGCUCCGGCGUUCCGUCGGUCCGCGCUGCGCAGGUGGCGACGCAUGCAGGCCGAUCAGGCGUGUUGCCGGACCCCGGACGCGGCCUUCUUGCUUUUUCGAGGCUCUUCUGUCGUGUAGUAUAGUAUGACUGGCCGGCCCAGAACAUUGUAGAACAUGCCAAAGAUUCCCGCGGUUU
This 816-nucleotide long non-coding RNA is filed under the name Triticum aestivum (bread wheat). Its description in RNAcentral is "long non-coding RNA (TAES_LNC026274)". Lineage: Eukaryota; Viridiplantae; Streptophyta; Magnoliopsida; Poales; Poaceae. The record is from RNAcentral.